This 484-nucleotide ribosomal RNA is filed under the name uncultured archaeon. RNAcentral's name for it is "bacterial SSU rRNA". It matches the Rfam family "Archaeal small subunit ribosomal RNA", at positions 515 to 997 of the family's 1478-position model. The record is from RNAcentral.
GCGUCCGUAGCCGGUUUAAUAAGUCUCUGGCGAAAUCCUGCAGCUUAACGUGUGGGAAUUGCUGGAGAUACUAUUAGACUUGAGACCGGGAGAGGUUAGAGGUACUCCCAGGGUAGAGGUGAAAUUCUGUAAUCCUGGGAGGACCGCCUGUUGCGAAGGCGUCUAACUGGAACGGUUCUGACGGUGAGGGACGAAAGUUAGGGGCGCGAACCGGAUUAGAUACCCGGGUAGUCCUAACUGUAAACGAUGCGGACUUGGUGUUGGGGUGGCUUUGAGCUGCUUCAGUGCCGAAGGGAAGCUGUUAAGUCCGCCGCCUGGGAAGUACGGUCGCAAGGCUGAAACUUAAGGAAUUGGCGGGGGAGCACCACAACGCGUGGAGCCUGCCGGUUUAAUUGGAUUCAACGCCGGACAUCUCACCAGAGGCGACAGCUGUAUGAUAGCCAGGUUGAUGACUUUGCUUGACUAGCUGAGGAGUGGUGCAUGG